AAUGAUGUGCCUGAAUUUAAAGGAUUAUAAUGAUAAAAUAAAUAAUGUAAUAUAAUUACCUUCAUUA
This 67-nucleotide transfer RNA is filed under the name Heptamelus sp. Its description in RNAcentral is "tRNA-Ile". Lineage: Eukaryota; Metazoa; Arthropoda; Insecta; Hymenoptera; Tenthredinidae. The record is from RNAcentral.